GCGACAAGCGGUGGAGCAUGUGGUUUAAUUCGACGCUAACGCGAAGAACCUUACCAGGUCUUGACAUCCCUUGACAGCUCAGAGAUGAGUGUUCUGACUUCGGUUAGACAAGGAGACAGGUGGUGCAUGGUUGUCGUCAGCUCGUGUCGUGAGAUGUUGGGUUAAGUCCCGCAACGAGCGCAACCCUUAUUCUUAGUUGCCAGCACUAACGGCGGGCACUCUAAGGAGACUGCCGGUGACAAACCGGAGGAAGGUGGGGAUGACGUCAAAUCAUCAUGCCCUUUAUGACCUGGGCUACACACGUGCUACAAUGGCCUAUACAAAGGGUAGCGAAGCUGUGAGGUGGAAGCCAAUCCCAAAAAGUAGGUCUCAGUUCGGAUUGUAGGCUGCAACUCGCCUACAUGAAGUCGGAAUCGCUAGUAAUCGCGGAUCAGCAUGCCGCGGUGAAUACGUUCCCGGGCCUU
RNAcentral lists this ribosomal RNA (464 nucleotides) under uncultured Peptococcaceae bacterium. RNAcentral describes it as "bacterial SSU rRNA". It matches the Rfam family "Bacterial small subunit ribosomal RNA", at positions 923 to 1382 of the family's 1533-position model. Lineage: Bacteria; Bacillati; Bacillota; Clostridia; Eubacteriales; Peptococcaceae. The record is from RNAcentral.